UACGGAGGGUGCAAGCGUUAUCCGGAAUUACUGGGCGUAAAGCGUGCGUAGGCGGUUCGCUGUGUCCGAUGUGAAAGCCCCGGGCUUAACCUGGGAAUGGCAUUGGAAACUGGCGGGCUUGAGUGCGGCAGAGGGGGGUGGAAUUCCGCGUGUAGCAGUGAAAUGCGUAGAGAUGCGGAGGAACACCGAUGGCGAAGGCAGCCCCCUGGGUCGACACUGACGCUCAGGCACGAAAGCGUGGGGAGCAAACAGG
This 253-nucleotide ribosomal RNA is filed under the name uncultured bacterium. Its description in RNAcentral is "partial 16S ribosomal RNA". It matches the Rfam family "Bacterial small subunit ribosomal RNA", at positions 524 to 776 of the family's 1533-position model. The record is from RNAcentral.